GGUGAACGAAUUACUUCACCGCUGAAAGCAGGUGCCGAAAGGCUUAAUAUCCCGCCGAGGUGAAGACGUUUAGAUCGCAGGAUCGCCUCCUUUUUAUGAGGAGUGAAAAGCGUCUUUGCCUCAAGGGAAUGUGGCAAAGACGCUUUGAGUUUUAAAAU
Regulatory RNA element from Anaerolinea thermophila, 158 nucleotides. It matches the Rfam family "Ribosomal protein L10 leader". Rfam says of the family: This family is a putative r-protein leader autoregulatory structure found in B. subtilis and other low-GC Gram-positive bacteria. Lineage: Bacteria; Bacillati; Chloroflexota; Anaerolineae; Anaerolineales; Anaerolineaceae. The record is from Rfam.